RNAcentral lists this ribosomal RNA (253 nucleotides) under uncultured bacterium. RNAcentral's name for it is "partial 16S ribosomal RNA". It matches the Rfam family "Bacterial small subunit ribosomal RNA", at positions 524 to 776 of the family's 1533-position model. The record is from RNAcentral.
UACAGAGGUCUCGAGCGUUGUUCGGAUUCAUUGGGCGUAAAGGGCGCGUAGGCGGCGGGGUGAGUCUGGUGUGAAAUCUCGGAGCUCAACUCCGAAAUUGCACUGGAUACUGCUCUGCUAGAGGGCUGGAGAGGAGAUCGGAAUUCACGGUGUAGCAGUGAAAUGCGUAGAUAUCGUGAGGAAGACCAGUGGCGAAGGCGGAUCUCUGGACAGCUCCUGACGCUGAGGCGCGAAGGCUAGGGGAGCAAACGGG